AGCAGCCGCCACGGUAAUACGAGGGGGGCAAGCGUUGUUCGGAAUUAUUGGGCGUAAAGGGUGCGUAGGCGGUUUGGCAAGUUUGGUGUGAAAUCUUCGGGCUCAACUCGAAGUCUGCAUCGAAAACUGCCGGGCUUGAGUAUGGGAGAGGUGAGUGGAAUUUCCGGUGUAGCGGUGAAAUGCGUAGAUAUCGGAAGGAACACCUGUGGCGAAAGCGGCUCACUGGACCAUAACUGACGCUGAUGCACGAAAGCUAGGGGAGCAAACAGGAUUAGAUACCCCCGUAGUCCCUGUCUCUUAUAA
Molecule: ribosomal RNA, 303 nt
Filed under: uncultured bacterium
Lineage: Bacteria
Description: partial 16S ribosomal RNA
Rfam family: Bacterial small subunit ribosomal RNA
Source: RNAcentral